Molecule: transfer RNA, 58 nt
Filed under: Dipodomys ordii (Ord's kangaroo rat)
Lineage: Eukaryota; Metazoa; Chordata; Mammalia; Rodentia; Heteromyidae
Rfam family: tRNA
About the family: Transfer RNA (tRNA) molecules are approximately 80 nucleotides in length. Their secondary structure includes four short double-helical elements and three loops (D, anti-codon, and T loops).
Source: Rfam by way of RNAcentral
GGGAAGGUGGCUCAGUGGUAGAGUGCUUGUCUUGCAUGCAUGAUGCCCUGGGUUCAAU